GUGCGUAAUAGCUCACUAGUCAAGAGAUCCUGCGCCGAAGAUGUCCGGGGCUCAAACUUACCACCGAAGCUAUGGGUGUACACUAUGUGUACGCGGUAGAGGAGCUUUCUGUAUGGGUUGAAGUCGUACCGUAAGGAGCGGUGGACUGUACAGAAGUGAGAAUGCUGGCAUAAGUAGCGAGAAAUAAGUGAGAAUCUUAUUGGCCGAAAACCUAAGGUUUCCUGGGGAAGGUUCGUCCGCCCAGGGUUAGUCGGGACCUAAGCCGAGGCCGAAAGGCGUAGGUGAUGGACAAUCGGUUGAUAUUCCGAUACCGCCUAUUUACGUUUGAGAAAUGGGGUGACGCAGUAGGAUAAGAUGUGCGCACUAUUGGAUGUGCGUCUAAGCAUUUAGGCAUGCUUGAUAGGUAAAUCCGUCGAGCUAAGCUGAGGUGUGAUGGGGAGCCAUUUAUGGCGAAGUAUCUGAUUCCACACUGCCAAGAAAAGCCUCUAUCGAGUGAAUAGGUGCCCGUACCGCAAACCGACACAGGUAGGUGAGGAGAGAAUCCUAAGGCCAUCGGAAGAAUUGCUGUUAAGGAACUCGGCAAAUUGACCCCGUAACUUCGGGAGAAGGGGUGCCUACGAAAGUAGGCCGCAGAGAAUAGGCCCAAGCAACUGUUUAGCAAAAAAACAGGUCUCUGCUAAAGCGAAAG
Molecule: ribosomal RNA, 688 nt
Filed under: Lacrimispora defluvii
Lineage: Bacteria; Bacillati; Bacillota; Clostridia; Lachnospirales; Lachnospiraceae
Description: partial 23S ribosomal RNA
Rfam family: Bacterial large subunit ribosomal RNA
Source: RNAcentral